CCUACGGGGUGCAGCAGUGAGGAAUAUUGGUCAAUGGCCGGGAGGCUGAACCAGCCAAGCCGCGUGAGGGAAGACGGUCCUACGGGUUGUAAACCUCUUUUGUCAGGGAGCAAGGUGCAGGUCGGGACCUGCUGUGAGAGUACCUGAAGAAAAAGCCUCGGCUAACUCCGUGCCAGCAUCCGCGGUAAUACGGAGGAUGCGAGCGUUAUCCGGAUGUAUUGAGUUUAAAGGGUGCGCAGGCGGAGGCACAAGUCAGCGGGAAAAUCGCGGGGCUCAACCCCGCUCCGCCGUUGAAACUGUGACCCUGGAGUGCGCGAAGGGUAGGCGGAAUGCGUGGUGUAGCGGUGAAAUGCAUAGAUAUCACGCAGAACUCCGAUCGCGAAGGCAGCCUACCGGCGCGCAACUGACGCUCAUGCACGAAAGCGUGGGUAUCGAACAGGAUUAGAUACCCCUGUAGUC
RNAcentral lists this ribosomal RNA (459 nucleotides) under uncultured bacterium. RNAcentral's name for it is "partial 16S ribosomal RNA". It matches the Rfam family "Bacterial small subunit ribosomal RNA", at positions 338 to 795 of the family's 1533-position model. The record is from RNAcentral.